UAGGGAAUAUUGCACAAUGGGCGAAAGCCUGAUGCAGCAAUGCCGCGUGUGUGAAGAAGGCCUUAGGGUUGUAAAGCACUUUCAAUAGUGAAGAAAAGCACAAGGAUAAUACCCUUGUGUCAUGACGUUAACUAUACAAGAAGCACCGGCUAACUCCGUGCCAGCAGCCGCGGUAAUACGGAGGGUGCAAGCGUUAAUCGGAAUUACUGGGCGUAAAGCGCGCGUAGGCGGUUUUGUAAGUCGGAUGUGAAAGCCCAGGGCUUAACCCUGGAAUUGCAUCCGAUACUGCAUGACUAGAGUAUGGUAGAGGGAAGUGGAAUUUCAAGUGUAGCGGUGAAAUGCGUAGAUAUUUGAAGGAACACCAGUGGCGAAGGCGACUUCCUGGGCCAAUACUGACGCUGAGGUGCGAAAGCGUGGGGAGCGAACAGG
This 429-nucleotide ribosomal RNA is filed under the name uncultured bacterium. RNAcentral describes it as "bacterial SSU rRNA". It matches the Rfam family "Bacterial small subunit ribosomal RNA", at positions 355 to 776 of the family's 1533-position model. The record is from RNAcentral.